Molecule: ribosomal RNA, 250 nt
Filed under: uncultured prokaryote
Description: partial 16S ribosomal RNA
Rfam family: Bacterial small subunit ribosomal RNA
Source: RNAcentral
UACGGAGGAUGCAAGCGUUAUCCGGAUUUAUUGGGUUUAAAGGGUGCGUAGGCUGUUGCGUAAGUCAGGGGUGAAAGACCGGGGCCCAACUCCGGAAGUGCCCUUGAUACUGUGCAGCUGGAGUGCGGAUGCCGUGGGAGGAAUGGGCAGUGUAGCGGUGAAAUGCAUAGAUAUUGCCCAGAACACCGAUUGCGAAGGCAUCUCACGAAUCCGCAACUGACGCUGAGGCACGAAAGCGUGGGGAUCAAAC